This 1245-nucleotide ribosomal RNA is filed under the name Triticum aestivum (bread wheat). RNAcentral's name for it is "partial small subunit ribosomal RNA". The record is from RNAcentral. Lineage: Eukaryota; Viridiplantae; Streptophyta; Magnoliopsida; Poales; Poaceae.
AUGCUCCAGUUCGGCCGCCGUCUCGCGUACCACGGCCUCCGCCGCACCCUCGUCGUCACCCGGUAUGUGCUCUCCACCACCUCGCCCCCUGGCGCGCCGUUCCGCGUGGCCGCCAUCUCGGACGGCUUCAAUGCUGGUGGCAUGGCGUCGUGCCCCGACUACACGGAGUACUUCCCGCGACUGGAGGCCCUCGGGUCCGAGACGCUGCGGGAGCUCCUCCUGUCCGAGGCGCGCGCUGGGCGGCCAGUGCGCGUGCUGGUUUAUGACCCUCAUCUUGCGUGGGCGCUGCGGGUGGCGUGGACGGCCGGCGUGGCCACCGCGGCCUUCUUCUCGCAGCCAUGUGCAGUGGACGUCGUGUAUGGGGAGCUCUGGGCGGGGCGGCUGGCGCUGCAGGCGACGGACGCGUGCGCACUGCUCGUGAGAGGAGCGCUGGGCGUGGAGUUUGGGCCGGAGGACAUGCCGCCGUUCGCGGCCGCGCCGGAGUCGCAGCCGGUGCUCGCAAAGACGUCGAUUGGGCAAUUCGAUGGGAUGGACGUUACCGACAACGUGCUCGUCAACUCUUUCCACCACAUCGAGCCAAAGGAGGCAGAUUACAUGGAGUUAACAUGGAGAGCGAAGAUGAUAGGUCCAACUUUGCCAUCAUACUACCUUGAUGCUAAUCGCCUACCAUCCAACAAGUCUUAUGGUUUUAAUUUGUUCAGUGAGGGUGCAUCGUGUAUGGAUUGGUUAGACAAGCAUAGCAUUUCCUCCGUUGUACUUGUAUCCUAUGGUACUGUCUCUAACUACGAUGCAACCCAGUUGGAGGAGCUUGGCAGUGGACUAUGCAAUUCUGGCAAACCUUUUGUUUGGGUUGUCAGAUCCAAUGAGGCACACAAGUUAUCUCAAGAACUCAAGGAGAAAUGUGAGAACAAUGGAUUAAUUGUUGCGUGGUGCCCCCAACUAGAAGUUUUGUCACACAAGGCUAUCGGUUUUUUUGUUACCCACUGCAGAUGGAACUCGACAUUGGAGGCAAUUGUUAGCGGUGUUCCUCUUGUGGGAAUCCCGCAUUGGGCUGACCAACCCACCAUCUCAAAGUAUGUGGAGACUGAGUGGGGCAUGGGCGUGCGAGUGCGGAAGGGCGAUAAAGGAUGGCUAAAGAGGAUGGAGGUCAAGAGGUGCAUUAGAGAGGUGAUGGACGGAGAUAGAAAGGAUGAGUACAAAAGAAAUGCUGCAAAGUGGAUGCAAAAGGCCAAGGAUGCAAUGUAA